RNAcentral lists this ribosomal RNA (119 nucleotides) under Pteropus alecto (black flying fox). Lineage: Eukaryota; Metazoa; Chordata; Mammalia; Chiroptera; Pteropodidae. The record is from RNAcentral.
GUUUAUGGCCAUGUCACCCUGAACAAGCCCGAUCCUGUAUGAUCUCGGAAGCUAAGCAGGGUCAGGCCUGGUUAGUACUUAGAUGGGAGACUACGUAGGAAGACCAGAUGCUAUAGGUG